UCCCCCUGUACCUGGACCCUCUGUAUCAGCCCGCCCACCUGCACGUGUACAAUCAGACCCCUUUGAUAGUGACAGUGACCCAGAUGACCCUGAGCCUUUCCAUGGUUUUGAUGCCUCGCCCUAUACAUCAGAUGUAGAUGUUCCCUCAUCAGUUGAUACAAGUAUCACCUCCCCAGAGCCCAAAUCAGUUGAUACGAGUAGUAUCACCUCUCCCAUUCCUUCAGACUCCCAAGCACCUGCCCAUCCCACUCCAUAGCCCAGCCACCCACUCUCAUGUACCAUAUGACCAUCCCAGUAAGCAAGCCAACCACUAGAAUUUGACUGGCAUGCACCUGUGACUUACAUAAACCAGACCUCUACAUAGCCUACAUGUCUUCAUUUUGCUGGAGACUGCCCAUCAUCCUAGCCUGUUAUCUGUGAUAAAGCACACUGAAGUUAGGUUUGGAAUGCAUCCUUAUCAUGAAUGCUCUACACCUCCACCUCCAUCUCCCACAACCUAGGUAACAGCUUUGAGACUCACUAAAAGUUGGUAAGUUAUGUAAGGAAUUUCUAAAUUAAGUUUUAUACUACAUGUUAUAUGUGAUAUUAAACCACUGUAUGGUGCAUAUUACUGUAUGUAACUUACUAUGCAUAGAGUACUUACUGACAUACUAAUUAUUUUUUGUACAUUCCAGAACCCCCUGAAUGAUGUAGGCUAUGGGGCCACAUAAGACUUUGUCCAUCCAGGGUUACGAUGAAUGCAAAAUAUAAACUAAAGAACCCCCUGAAUGAUGUAGGCUAUGGGGCCACAUAAGACUUUGUCCAUCCAGGGUUAUGAUGAAUGCAAAAUUUAAACUAAAGAGCUACCAGACUGGGAUUUUAGUGUACUCCAGGAUCUAACAAAAACAUACGUACUACUACGAAGUGUGCAAUGCAUAAUAUAGUGUAUAGUGUUUAGUGUAUACCCUAAGGAUUAAGUGUAGUACAUUGUGCUUUUUAGUGUCACAAGAGUUUAAUAAAGAAUUAUACCUUCAAGAACCAUCCUUUGCCAUUGGAAUAACCACACUACACAUCAUGCAAUCUACUUGCAUGUCACACAGGUAAGGUCUCUAACUUUUUCUUAGUUUAAGGCAUAUUUCCAAGUGUCGUUCCGGCUUACGACGAUUUUCGGCUUACGACGCGCCUCAAGAACGGAACCCCCGUCGUAACCCGGGGACUGCCUGUAUUAA
This is a long non-coding RNA of Macrobrachium nipponense, 1208 nucleotides long. RefSeq lists it as uncharacterized. The record is from RefSeq and is a predicted model, not a curated record. NCBI's taxonomy places the organism in Eukaryota, Metazoa, Arthropoda, Malacostraca, Decapoda, Palaemonidae. The transcript is spliced from 8 exons.